This 340-nucleotide long non-coding RNA is filed under the name Glycine max (soybean). RNAcentral describes it as "long non-coding RNA (GMAX_LNC004652)". Lineage: Eukaryota; Viridiplantae; Streptophyta; Magnoliopsida; Fabales; Fabaceae. The record is from RNAcentral.
AGAAACUAAAAAAGAGACUAUAGCAGAACAACUCAUGGGACCCCUAGCUUCUUCGGAUAGAAUCAUCCUAAGCAUAGGGGAGGAGAAAGAAUCUAGUCAAAGCAAAACAACCUUGGUGGCUAAUGUUUGCCAAAAAAUCAGCACUUUUAUUGGCUCCCUAUAGAUAUGAGAAAUAAAGGGUUGUCAAACUCUCAUCAAAAGCUGAUUCAAAAUACCCUUGAACAAUGGCUUUAACAAGGCUGAUAUGAAAGAACCACGGGGAACAAUGUGAACCACCGCAAGCGAGUCCAUCUCAAAGAUCACAUGAUGAAGGUUGAGCUCCCAGGAAACAUGAAUACGC